This 497-nucleotide ribosomal RNA is filed under the name uncultured bacterium. Its description in RNAcentral is "partial 16S ribosomal RNA". It matches the Rfam family "Bacterial small subunit ribosomal RNA", at positions 28 to 507 of the family's 1533-position model. The record is from RNAcentral.
GACGAACGCUGGCGGCGUGCCUAAUACAUGCAAGUUGAGCGCUGAAGGUUGGUACUUGUCCCGACUGGAUGAGCAGCGAACGGGUGAGUAACGCGUGGGGAAUCUGCCUUUGAGCGGGGGACAACAUUUGGAAACGAAUGCUAAUACCGCAUAAAAACUUUAAACACAAGUUUUAAGUUUGAAGGAUGCAAUUGCAUCACUCAAAGAUGAUCCCGCGUUGUAUUAGCUAGUUGGUGAGGUAAAGGCUCACCAAGGCGAUGAUACAUAGCCGACCUGAGAGGGUGAUCGGCCACAUUGGGACUGAGACACAGCCCAAACUCCUACGGGAGGCAGCAGUAGGGAAUCUUCGGCAAUGGACGAAAGUCUGACCGAGCAACGCCGCGUGAGUGAAGAAGGUUUUCGGAUCGUAAAACUCUGUUGGUAGAGAAGAACGUUGGUGAGAGUGGAAAGCUCAUCAAGUGACGGUAACUACCCAGAAAGGGACGGCUAACUACGUG